GAUGAACGCUGGCGGCAUGCCUAACACAUGCAAGUCGAUCGGUAAGGCUCUUCGGAGUACACGAGAGGCGGACGGCUGAGUAACGCGUAGGAACACACCCUGCAGUGAGGGAUAAGACACCGAAAGGUGUUCUAAUACCGCAUACGGUCUUCGGAUUAAAGCAUUUAUGCGCUGAAGGAGUGGCCUGCGUCAUAUUAGAUAGUUGGUGAGGUAAUGGCUCACCAAGUCGAUGAUGUGUAGCUGGUCUGAGAGGAUGAUCAGCCAGACUGGAACUGAGACACGGUCCAGACUCCUACGGGAGGCAGCUGUGAGGAAUAUUUCACAAUGAGCGAAAGCUUGAUGGAGCAAUGCCGCGUGCAGGAUGAAGGCCCUCGGGUUGUAAACUGCUUUUAUAAGAGAAGAUUAUGACGGUAACUUAUGAAUAAGGGACGGCUAACUACGUG
Molecule: ribosomal RNA, 443 nt
Filed under: uncultured bacterium
Lineage: Bacteria
Description: partial 16S ribosomal RNA
Rfam family: Bacterial small subunit ribosomal RNA
Source: RNAcentral